GGCCACUUGGCGCAAUGGUAGCGCGUUGGGCUUCGAUUGCUCAACGUAUAACCCAAAGGCUGCAGGUUCGAGCCCUGCAGUGGUCA
This 86-nucleotide transfer RNA is filed under the name Schizophyllum commune H4-8. RNAcentral describes it as "tRNA-Arg". It matches the Rfam family "tRNA". From Rfam's summary of the family: Transfer RNA (tRNA) molecules are approximately 80 nucleotides in length. Their secondary structure includes four short double-helical elements and three loops (D, anti-codon, and T loops). Lineage: Eukaryota; Fungi; Basidiomycota; Agaricomycetes; Agaricales; Schizophyllaceae. The record is from Rfam by way of RNAcentral.